Molecule: long non-coding RNA, 575 nt
Filed under: Salmo salar (Atlantic salmon)
Lineage: Eukaryota; Metazoa; Chordata; Actinopteri; Salmoniformes; Salmonidae
Description: lncRNA (ENSSSAG00000090371.1, ENSSSAG00075038302.1)
Source: RNAcentral
CUCGCUUGUGGGCAUGCUGGUAGGAUAUGGCAGCAUUUUUGGUUGUGCUUCAAGAAUUCUGCAUACAGUAGCACGUUGGUAUGAAGGUGUGGUUAUUCACAGGCAAAUUGUUAUAUGCUAUGGAGGUACAUUUGUCUCUUUUUGUCCAGAGCAAAACCUUUUUUAUUUUCAAUCGACACAAAGGAAGUCAAAGCGGACACCUACGAAGAUGGCAUCUCAGCGAGCUGAUCAAGGGGUUGAAAAUGUAGAUAUUGCCAGAUGUUCACUGUCCGAGGAACAGGCCACGGAAGCUUUAUUGCUGGCAAAAGUGUCCUUAACCAGAGGUUAUAUCAGCUGUUUUGGUGAACCCCUCCCGCAUGUGAACUGGCUGACACAGAGGGCACGAUCAUAGGUGUAAUGUCACUUGGUCGGGUCACCAGGAAGUAUUAUUAAGAGAUGCUUUACACUGAAAUACAGACAGAUGUAGUAGUCCCAGAGUAAAUGAUCCAAGGUGACUAAAAUUAUGUCAAUUAGCCUAUCAGAAGUUUCUAAAUCCAUGACAUAAUUUUCUGGAUAUUUCCAAACUGUUUAAAGGC